This 1473-nucleotide ribosomal RNA is filed under the name metagenome. Its description in RNAcentral is "bacterial SSU rRNA". It matches the Rfam family "Bacterial small subunit ribosomal RNA". The record is from RNAcentral.
GCAAGUCGAACGGUAACAGGAAGCAGCUUGCUGCUUCGCUGACGAGUGGCGGACGGGUGAGUAAUGUCUGGGAAGCUGCCUGAUGGAGGGGGAUAACUACUGGAAACGGUAGCUAAUACCGCAUAAUGUCGCAAGACCAAAGAGGGGGACCUUCGGGCCUCUUGCCAUCGGAUGUGCCCAGAUGGGAUUAGCUUGUUGGUGGGGUAACGGCUCACCAAGGCGACGAUCCCUAGCUGGUCUGAGAGGAUGACCAGCCACACUGGAACUGAGACACGGUCCAGACUCCUACGGGAGGCAGCAGUGGGGAAUAUUGCACAAUGGGCGCAAGCCUGAUGCAGCCAUGCCGCGUGUAUGAAGAAGGCCUUCGGGUUGUAAAGUACUUUCAGCGGGGAGGAAGGGAGUAAAGUUAAUACCUUUGCUCAUUGACGUUACCCGCAGAAGAAGCGCCGGCUAACUCCGUGCCAGCAGCCGCGGUAAUACGGAGGGUGCAAGCGUUAAUCGGAAUUACUGGGCGUAAAGCGCACGCAGGCGGUUUGUUAAGUCAGAUGUGAAAUCCCCGGGCUCAACCUGGGAACUGCAUCUGAUACUGGCAAGCUUGAGUCUCGUAGAGGGGGGUAGAAUUCCAGGUGUAGCGGUGAAAUGCGUAGAGAUCUGGAGGAAUACCGGUGGCGAAGGCGGCCCCCUGGACGAAGACUGACGCUCAGGUGCGAAAGCGUGGGGAGCAAACAGGAUUAGAUACCCUGGUAGUCCACGCCGUAAACGAUGUCGACUUGGAGGUUGUGCCCUUGAGGCGUGGCUUCCGGAGCUAACGCGUUAAGUCGACCGCCUGGGGAGUACGGCCGCAAGGUUAAAACUCAAAUGAAUUGACGGGGGCCCGCACAAGCGGUGGAGCAUGUGGUUUAAUUCGAUGCAACGCGAAGAACCUUACCUGGUCUUGACAUCCACGGAAGUUUUCAGAGAUGAGAAUGUGCCUUCGGGAACCGUGAGACAGGUGCUGCAUGGCUGUCGUCAGCUCGUGUUGUGAAAUGUUGGGUUAAGUCCCGCAACGAGCGCAACCCUUAUCCUUUGUUGCCAGCGGUCCGGCCGGGAACUCAAAGGAGACUGCCAGUGAUAAACUGGAGGAAGGUGGGGAUGACGUCAAGUCAUCAUGGCCCUUACGACCAGGGCUACACACGUGCUACAAUGGCGCAUACAAAGAGAAGCGACCUCGCGAGAGCAAGCGGACCUCAUAAAGUGCGUCGUAGUCCGGAUUGGAGUCUGCAACUCGACUCCAUGAAGUCGGAAUCGCUAGUAAUCGUGGAUCAGAAUGCCACGGUGAAUACGUUCCCGGGCCUUGUACACACCGCCCGUCACACCAUGGGAGUGGGUUGCAAAAGAAGUAGGUAGCUUAACCUUCGGGAGGGCGCUUACCACUUUGUGAUUCAUGACUGGGGUGAAGUCGUAACAAGGUAACCGUAGGGGAACCUGCGGUUG